Non-coding RNA from Aphanomyces invadans, 71 nucleotides. Lineage: Eukaryota; Oomycota; Saprolegniomycetes; Saprolegniales; Verrucalvaceae. The record is from the annotation of a RefSeq genome assembly.
GGGACUUUAGCUCUGUGGGUAGAGCAUCGGUUUGUUGUCCCAAAGUUCGCGGCUUCGAUCCCCGGGUUUCG